UACGAGGGGGGCUAGCGUUGCUCGGAAUCACUGGGCGUAAAGCGCACGUAGGCGGAUCUUUAAGUCAGAGGUGAAAUCCCAAGGCUCAACCUUGGAACUGCCUUUGAUACUGGGGAUCUCGAGUCCGGAAGAGGUGAGUGGAACUGCGAGUGUAGAGGUGAAAUUCGUAGAUAUUCGCAAGAACACCAGUGGCGAAGGCGGCUCCCUGGUCCGGUACUGACGCUGAGGUGCGAAAGCGUGGGGAGCAAACAGG
This 253-nucleotide ribosomal RNA is filed under the name uncultured bacterium. Its description in RNAcentral is "partial 16S ribosomal RNA". It matches the Rfam family "Bacterial small subunit ribosomal RNA", at positions 524 to 776 of the family's 1533-position model. The record is from RNAcentral.